AGAGUUUGAUCAUGGCUCAGGAUGAACGCUAGCGGCAGGCCUAAUACAUGCAAGUCGAACGGUAGGUUUCCUUCGGGGAACUGAGAGUGGCGCACGGGUGCGUAACGCGUAUGCAACCUACCUUGUACAGGGGAAUAGCCCGGAGAAAUCCGGAUUAAUGCCCCAUGGCAUCACCAGAUGGCAUCUGAAGGUGAUUAAAGAUUUAUCGGUACAAGAUGGGCAUGCGUGACAUUAGUUAGUUGGUGGGGUAACGGCCCACCAAGACGAUGAUGUCUAGGGGUUCUGAGAGGAUGAUCCCCCACACUGGUACUGAGAUACGGACCAGACUCCUACGGGAGGCAGCAGUAGGGAAUAUUGGUCAAUGGGCGAGAGCCUGAACCAGCCAUGCCGCGUGCAGGAAGACGGCCUUCUGGGUUGUAAACUGCUUUUCUACGGGAAGAAAAUGCCCCUGCGGGGGAAAUUGCCGGUACCGUAGGAAUAAGCACCGGCUAACUCCGUGCCAGCAGCCGCGGUAAUACGGAGGGUGCAAGCGUUGUCCGGAUUUAUUGGGUUUAAAGGGUGCGUAGGCGGGCCCUUAAGUCAGUGGUGAAAGCCCGCAGCUCAACUGUGGAACUGCCAUUGAUACUGGGGGCCUUGAGUGUACUAGAGGUAGGCGGAAUUUAUGGUGUAGCGGUGAAAUGCAUAGAUACCAUAAAGAACACCGAUAGCGUAGGCAGCUUACUGGAGUACAACUGACGCUGAGGCACGAAAGCAUGGGGAGCGAACAGGAUUAGAUACCCUAGUAGUCC
Molecule: ribosomal RNA, 788 nt
Filed under: uncultured bacterium
Lineage: Bacteria
Description: bacterial SSU rRNA
Rfam family: Bacterial small subunit ribosomal RNA
Source: RNAcentral